CCGGCUCUCUCGACCAAGAAGAUCGGCCCGCAUUAAAGCUCGACGAAACCGAGAAGCCAUAACGACAUCUUGAGUCCAUCCCGGAAGCUUGAAAGACACCUUGGAAGCUCGCGUGACGCUUUUACUAGUUUAUAGUUUCCAUGCUCUUUACUAUUUCUCCUAUUUUCAAUGCUCCGUUUUUAUUUCUCCUAGUUUUCAACGCUUUGUCUUUAUUUCUCCUAGUUUCAACAUUCUGUUUUUAUUUCUUUGAUGAUAUAAGCCAAUCCCUUGUAGAAGACAGACAGCUUUUGACGAAUGAAAGAAAACUUUGCUUGAAGCAAGUAUCGUGAACCUUGUAGAGUUCAACCCUUGAAAACCUAGAAGAGUUUUCACUCCAUCCUUGAAGAGUCGGAGCUUUUCGAAACCUGCAUCCUUGAAGAGUUGCAGUCAUCGAUCUAGAAGAAUCGGUGUCCCUUUCAACUUCCUUGGAGGCCUAGAAGAGCAACCAAAGAAGUUUCUAUCUUUUCCUAUUCUGUUCGUUAUUUCCAACCCAUUUUCGACCAUCCUACAGUGCUUAUUUCAGAAAACCCAAAACACAGAAAUUGUAGAUCCAGAAGUCUUUGUUCAUUUGGCUUUGGAAUCAGGUCGAUCCGAUCUGUAUCGACAAAGAUACGACUGUUCUCCUGAGCUUGCGCAGUGCUGAAAUUACUGUUCGUCCCGUUUCUUGUGCGCGAGUCACUCUCCCGAUCCUAUUGUUUGAGAAAGCCUCCCCUAGGCUUGCAUCAUUUGGUAUCAGAGCUUUGGAGGAGAGGACAAUGCCUCCAAGACAAGCUAGGCGUCGUGGCGGCAGAACCGUUCCCCUCAAUGAAUUGCACACACUCGCUGAGAAUAUGCAACAACAAAUUGAUGAAUUGACGCAAGAAGUUCAGCGUUUGAGGGCUGAAGCAAAUAAUUCUCCACCCCGUUCCAGGACAGAAAAUUCCCAUGGUGACUCUUCCUCUUCGGAGAGUGUUCAAUCUAUUCACGGUCGGAGGCAUGUUCGACAUCGUUUACAACAUAUUCGUGAGCCAGAUUGGGAAAAGGAAAUCAAGAAAGAUGUUCCAGAAUUUACAGGUAAUGAGUCUCCUGAUGAAAUUGUUGAUUGGCUAACACUUGUGAAUGAGGUGUUUGAGCAUCAAAAUGUUCCGGAGAAUCGUCGCGUUGGGAUCAUUGCUAUGCGAUUCCGAGGCAAGGCGAUUGCUUGGUGGAGACGUGAAAAACAAACUCGCCAAGCCGUUGGCAAAGCACAAGUCACUUCGUGGAGAAAGAUGGAGGGCAAGAUUCAAAAAUAUUUUCUUCCCAAAGGAUAUAAGAGAGAGCUCUACCAACGGUACCAAAAUCUAAAACAAGGUACGCGAACGGUGGACCAAUACACCAAUGAAUUCAAUGAGUUGGUGAUUCGUAACAAUAUCCAAGAUCCGGAGGAGGUGCUUGUGAACAAAUACUUGAACGGUCUUCAAUUUUACAUUCAAGACGCCUUGGAAGUCCUCGACAUUUGGGACUUAGGAGAUGCACACCAACGGGCACUCAAAAUGGAGCGCUCUCAUUCUCGGAGACAGCAAUCUGCUAGUAAGCCUUCUACUCAACCUCAUGAUUCGAAGCAACCUGCUACAUCCGAAAUACGUUGCUAUUCUUGUGGGGAGUUGGGUCAUCGUGCUAGCAAUUGUCGAAUCAAUAAGAAUCGACCAGCCGGUAAAGCCUUCUUGGUGGAUAAUAAUUCUGAUGAGAACGCUGAGGAUCCACUUGAAGAGGAGUUGAAAAAUGAUGAAGAAGCUGCGGAUGAUGAACAAAUAGUGCAUGCUGACACUGGCGAACUUCUAAUGGUGAGGAAAAAUUUUCCUACUCCUCGAGAUGACACUGGAGAUAGGUGGCUACGUACCAAUAUUUUCCAUUCUGCUUGCACAAUCAUGGGAAAGGUAUGUCAAUUAAUUAUUGACUCUGGUUGUUGUGAGAAUAUAAUUUCUGAAGUAGCGGCAAACAAGUUGAAGUUGGAAUUAAAAGCGCACCCUACGCCUUAUAAAAUGUUGUGGUUGAAGAAAGGCGCUGAGGUAACUGUUUCAAAAAGAUGUCUUGUUAAUCUAUCCAUUGGUUCUGUUUAUAGUGACAAAAUAUGGUGUGAUGUUCUGCCGAUGGAUGCUAGUCACAUUAUUCUUGGUCGACCAUGGCAAUUCGAUAAGAGGACUAUGCAUGAUGGUUAUCGAAAUACAUAUUCUUUUGAAGUUGGAGGCAAGAAGAUUACGUUGGCACCUAGUAGGGUGGGAGAUUCUUUUGAGGAUGAUGACAAGAAUUCAAGGACGAAUUCUUUUAAAGAUGGGGAGGAUGAUGCAGCCCACAUUGAAGACCGGCUCUCUCGACCAAGAAGAUCAGCCCGCAUUAAAGCUCGACGAAACCGAGAAGCCAUAACGACAUCUUGAGUCCAUCCCGGAAGCUUGAAAGACACCUUGGAAGCUCGCGUGACGCUUUUACUAGUUUAUAGUUUCCAUGCUCUUUACUAUUUCUCCUAUUUUCAAUGCUCCGUUUUUAUUUCUCCUAGUUUUCAACGCUUUGUCUUUAUUUCUCC
RNAcentral lists this long non-coding RNA (2578 nucleotides) under Eucalyptus grandis. Its description in RNAcentral is "long non-coding RNA (EGRA_LNC002166)". Lineage: Eukaryota; Viridiplantae; Streptophyta; Magnoliopsida; Myrtales; Myrtaceae. The record is from RNAcentral.